RNAcentral lists this ribosomal RNA (490 nucleotides) under uncultured bacterium. RNAcentral describes it as "partial 16S ribosomal RNA". It matches the Rfam family "Bacterial small subunit ribosomal RNA", at positions 29 to 507 of the family's 1533-position model. The record is from RNAcentral.
AGUGAACGCUGGCGGCAGGCCUAACACAUGCAAGUCGAACGGCAGCACAAGAGAGCUUGCUCUCUGGGUGGCGAGUGGCGGACGGGUGAGGAAUGCAUCGGAAUCUGCCCAUUUGUGGGGGAUAACCUCGGGAAACCGGGACUAAUACCGCAUACGACCUACGGGUGAAAGCAGGGGAUCUUCGGACCUUGCGCAGAUGGAUGAGCCGAUGCCGGAUUAGCUAGUUGGAGGGGUAAAGGCCCACCAAGGCGACGAUCCGUAGCUGGUCUGAGAGGAUGAUCAGCCACACUGGGACUGAGACACGGCCCAGACUCCUACGGGAGGCAGCAGUGGGGAAUAUUGGACAAUGGGCGCAAGCCUGAUCCAGCCAUGCCGCGUGUGUGAAGAAGGCCUUCGGGUUGUAAAGCACUUUUGUUGGGAAAGAAAAGCAGCCGGUUAAUACCCGGUUGUCAUGGCGGUACCCAAAGAAUAAGCACCGGCUAACUUCGUG